RNAcentral lists this ribosomal RNA (255 nucleotides) under uncultured bacterium. RNAcentral's name for it is "partial 16S ribosomal RNA". It matches the Rfam family "Bacterial small subunit ribosomal RNA", at positions 524 to 776 of the family's 1533-position model. The record is from RNAcentral.
UACGUAGGGUGCAAGCGUUAAUCGGAAUUACUGGGCGUAAAGCGUGCGCAGGCGGUGAUGUAAGACCGAUGUGAAAUCCCCCGGGCUUAACCUGGGAACUGCAUUGGUGACUGCAUCGCUAGAGUAUGGCAGAGGGGGGUGGAAUUCCACGUGUAGCAGUGAAAUGCGUAGAGAUGUGGAGGAACACCGAUGGCGAAGGCAGCCCCCCUGGGCCAAUACUGACGCUCAUGCACGAAAGCGUGGGGAGCAAACAGG